CUGAAUGUGCUGGGUUGUGACUGAAUUCCACCUGAAAAUGCUGACAAUCUGGAAGUACCCUCACACCCAAGCUGGUGAAAAAAAAGAAAGCGAAAGGUGUUAGUGUUAAUUAUUUCAGCUUGCAAAAGGCGGGGGGAACCUUAUCUAAAAACACCAUAAUGAUUCAUUACUUUAGCACAACCACAAUCUAUUAUGUUACAGAGCAUUCCUAUGCAUGUUUACUUGAAAGUUAGUCUCAAAUAACUCAACGAGUUU
Molecule: non-coding RNA, 255 nt
Organism: Podarcis lilfordi (Lilford's wall lizard)
Lineage: Eukaryota; Metazoa; Chordata; Lepidosauria; Squamata; Lacertidae
Source: the annotation of a GenBank genome assembly